RNA transcript from Drosophila gunungcola (fruit fly), 1042 nucleotides. RefSeq lists it as uncharacterized. The record is from RefSeq and is a predicted model, not a curated record. The transcript has 2 exons. NCBI's taxonomy places the organism in Eukaryota, Metazoa, Arthropoda, Insecta, Diptera, Drosophilidae.
ACCCGAUAUCGCGGCAUGACAAUCGAAAAAAGCCAGCAUGGCUGGUUUGUUUACAUUUUUAGAAUUACAAGUUUGCUAAUAAAAUUUUUCUUUUCAGGUAUUUCGCGGCUUUCUGCCAACAGGAUUGGAGUUGCCGCAUCCACAGGAAGGCGUCCAGUGUCGAUGGAGGUGUACCAGCCAGCGGAGUCGGCGAAGUUAAGUAGCAGCAAGUUUCCAAUCCACAGGGGAGAAAGUAUCGUCAGAGUUUUUGCACGCUGUAACUUACAAGUCUUUUCCUCUCGUACUAGGAGUGUGUGUUGCAGCACGUGUCAGCCUCAUUCAAAGCCUCUGGAGAGUCCGGAUUAAUGUGGUUGGCAAUUUCAGAUACAGCCAGCUGUAGAUUAGCGACGCCAACUUCAGGAGAGUCCACCGUCGGUUGUUGGCCAAUUUGAAACCGAGUUUGCUGUGGAUACUGGAUGCACGCUGACCCCAAGGGAGCAGUGGCAGAAGGAGCUGGUCCAGCUGGAUAUGAUAAGGACUCGUGGGAGCAGGAGGCGCUAAUCCAGGAUGUAGUGGAGGCCAGUGUUUUAGCGACUUCAAAGCAGCCCAAACCAGUGGCCGCGGUGGAUCCAGUAAAAUCAGCUCGGGGCAAACCAGUUGUAGAGCAUUCAGCUGUACUGCCCAGUGAGUCCAGAGGUGCAGAAACUUGAGUGUCGUUGUAAACAGUGGAAGCAUCUCGUGUACAUGCAGAUUUGACCGCUUGUCUGCGUUGGAGUUAGAGGCUCAAGAACGCUUGGAGCAGCAGCUUGGUGAUGGAUAGUGGACGAAGGUGGAACAUUUCUGUUUGGUGCCGGUGAAACGGUCACAAGUAAGACCACUCAGCCUAUAUGAAUAGGUGUGUGGCUUAGUAUUUAUUUCAGCUCGUUAUAUACGUUAGCUAUAUAUAAAUAGUAUUUAGUGGCGUUAGCAGAGGCCUUUACAAUAGUAGGCUUUAAGAGUAUUUUAACAGUAGUAACAUAAAAAUAUCUUAAAAAUAAUACUGAGUAUGUUAACAGGUUUUUUU